Molecule: long non-coding RNA, 226 nt
Filed under: Nicotiana benthamiana
Lineage: Eukaryota; Viridiplantae; Streptophyta; Magnoliopsida; Solanales; Solanaceae
Description: long non-coding RNA (NBEN_LNC006585)
Source: RNAcentral
UUAGGGAGAGCCCGGAGGCUAGUACAGAAACCAGUUCUUUGGAGGAUGCGCAUGUUCGAGUUGAAGGAGAUGCGGUCGAACGCGUGGCGGGUGAAGGCUCUGUGCUUCCAAUAUGCAAAGAGGCCUCAUCUUCUGGAGUUGCGGUGGAUGCACGUCCUAUGAUUGAUGAUAGAAGUAAGGUUGUUGCUGAAGGGGAUGUUGGAUCUGAUUCCGACAUGGAUGCGGG